UUGUCCCUGCGGUGUUCGAGACUAGGCCAUAUAUUCUCUGAACCUAUGCUUUACGGCAUAAGGUUGCAAUGGCUCUCCGGUGGGUGUGAUCGUCUCUCUGUCAGACGAACUCAAAACCGGGCUAGCGCGACCACCUUGAACUCUAGGGUUCGAGAUGCCGGCCUUGACGGCACAUGCGGGGCAUUU
RNAcentral lists this non-coding RNA (186 nucleotides) under Orrella dioscoreae. RNAcentral's name for it is "6S / SsrS RNA". It matches the Rfam family "6S / SsrS RNA". Rfam says of the family: E. coli 6S RNA was the first non coding RNA to be sequenced, but its function was unknown until recently. It consists of 184 nucleotides that fold into an extended hairpin structure with a large single-stranded internal bulge. The record is from Rfam by way of RNAcentral. Lineage: Bacteria; Pseudomonadati; Pseudomonadota; Betaproteobacteria; Burkholderiales; Alcaligenaceae.